Molecule: transfer-messenger RNA, 347 nt
Filed under: Ruminococcus bromii
Lineage: Bacteria; Bacillati; Bacillota; Clostridia; Eubacteriales; Oscillospiraceae
Also listed under: 5 other names
Rfam family: transfer-messenger RNA
About the family: Bacterial tmRNA, also known as 10Sa RNA or SsrA, is named for its dual tRNA and mRNA-like properties.
Source: RNAcentral
GGGGAUGUAAAGGUUUCGACGGGGAUUUCAAACCUUGGUAAGCGAGCGGCGGUGCGGAACCGCCAUAAAAUCCGCAACUUUAAAAUUAACUGACAACAAAACAGUUGCUUUAGCAGCCUGAGUGCUGCUCGUUCCUACACAGAGUACCUCGGCUGUGUAAGGGGCGUCGAUUAGAGGUAAAUGUGAACAGGGGAGCGCUCCGAACCCUGUCACAGCUUAGGAGCUGCCAAAGUGCAUAGCCUGUUGAUGGGCGAUGCACCGAGGGAGAUUUAAAACACCAACUGCGCUCGGAGAAACCCUUGGCAAGAUUUUUUCGGACAGGGGUUCGAUUCCCCUCAUCUCCACCA